Molecule: ribosomal RNA, 253 nt
Filed under: uncultured bacterium
Lineage: Bacteria
Description: partial 16S ribosomal RNA
Rfam family: Bacterial small subunit ribosomal RNA
Source: RNAcentral
UACGUAGGGUCCGAGCGUUGUCCGGAAUUAUUGGGCGUAAAGAGCUCGUAGGCGGUUUGUCGCGUCUGCUGUGAAAUCCCGAGGCUCAACCUCGGGUCUGCAGUGGGUACGGGCAGACUGGAGUGCGGUAGGGGAGAAUGGAAUUCCUGGUGUAGCGGUGAAAUGCGCAGAUAUCAGGAGGAACACCGAUGGCGAAGUCAGGUCUCUGGGCAUUAACUGACGCUGAGGAGCGAAAGCAUGGGGAGCGAACAGG